CGUGAUAUUGGCACGGCU
RNAcentral lists this small nuclear RNA (18 nucleotides) under Arabidopsis thaliana (thale cress). RNAcentral's name for it is "snRNA_11380". Lineage: Eukaryota; Viridiplantae; Streptophyta; Magnoliopsida; Brassicales; Brassicaceae. The record is from RNAcentral.